GAUGAACGCUGGCGGCGUGCUUAACACAUGCAAGUCGAACGGAAAGGCCCAAGCUUGCUUGGGUACUCGAGUGGCGAACGGGUGAGUAACACGUGGGUGAUCUGCCCUGCACUUCGGGAUAAGCCUGGGAAACUGGGUCUAAUACCGGAUAGGACCACAUUUUGGAUGGUGUGGUGGAAAGUUUUUCGGUGUGGGAUGAGCUCGCGGCCUAUCAGCUUGUUGGUGGGGUAAUGGCCUACCAAGGCGUCGACGGGUAGCCGGCCUGAGAGGGUGUACGGCCACAUUGGGACUGAGAUACGGCCCAGACUCCGACGGGAGGCAGCAGUGGGGAAUAUUGCACAAUGGGCGCAAGCCUGAUGCAGCGACGCCGCGUGGGGGAUGACGGCCUUCGGGUUGUAAACUCCUUUCGCUAGGGACGAAGCGUUAUGUGACGGUACCUGGAGAAGAAGCACCGGCUAACUACGUG
RNAcentral lists this ribosomal RNA (466 nucleotides) under uncultured bacterium. Its description in RNAcentral is "partial 16S ribosomal RNA". It matches the Rfam family "Bacterial small subunit ribosomal RNA", at positions 28 to 507 of the family's 1533-position model. The record is from RNAcentral.